UUAAUUGACCCUAUUUCCGAAAAAUUCAUUCUUUCUUGGGAUGCCUCCCGGUAAAAGACGCGAGUCUCGUGCAGAAGACAAGCUGCGGAGAGGAAGGCACCACUGUGGAAGAGCUCAUCAGCGGUAUGGUGUGCAGUGGUCGCCAGAACAAUGAACAUAGUAGCCCUGAAGUAAGCGAAAGCACGGGAAUCUCUUAAGAUCCACCGCCCGAAGCAGCUGAAGAGGAACCAUCGGCUGUUCGUUCCACAUCCCAGCUACGGCGCAAUGCAACUAAAAGGAGGCGUGGCACCACCUCCUCAGAGCUGCGCACGCUGAAGAAAUGGAGCUGAGAGAGUGCCACUUGAAGCUUCAAGAAAAAAUGUUUGAUGCAAUAGGUACACCUUUUGGUACGCUUAACUAACACCCUUGUGUUG
Rhipicephalus microplus (southern cattle tick) is the source of this 413-nucleotide long non-coding RNA. NCBI's taxonomy places the organism in Eukaryota, Metazoa, Arthropoda, Arachnida, Ixodida, Ixodidae. The record is from RefSeq and is a predicted model, not a curated record.